This is an RNA transcript of Diachasmimorpha longicaudata, 989 nucleotides long. It is a transcript of the gene named survival motor neuron protein, with no coding region annotated. The record is from RefSeq and is a predicted model, not a curated record. The transcript has 7 exons. Lineage: Eukaryota; Metazoa; Arthropoda; Insecta; Hymenoptera; Braconidae.
AAUAUGACUAAACCGUGCCAGAUUCUGCCUGUUUUAUUUACCUCUUUUCAUCAUCAAAUAUUUGCAGGGAAAAAUCAUUAAAUUAUUCAAAGUCAUGUGAAGUGCUUGACUCGUUACAAAGAGAAUAAUUUUUACCAUAAUGGCAGACGAGGAGAACGUUCUAUUUGUUCGCGAGAAUGGACAGGAUGUUGAUGACAUUUGGGACGAUACUGUCCUAAUUAAGGCAUACGACAGGGCUGUUAAUUUAGCGAAAGAGCAAGUUGCAAAACGUCUCAGCAUGGAGACCGAAGCUCCACGUGGAAAAUCGGAUAAACAACAAAAAUGUAAAUACCCCGGAAAAGAAGGAAAUUAUCAGAAGAAGUGGGCUCUAGGCUCACCAUGUCGUGCAGUUUACUCUGCUGAUGGGAUGGAAUACGAAGCAAUUAUAUCCAGAAUACUCGAUAAUGAUUGUGGCAGAUGUAUCGUCAAAUUUGUAGGAUAUGGAAACACUGAAAAAGUGGAACUAUCCUCUCUUCGCGAGUCUGAGGGCCUCCAAGCUCAGAUAGCCCAACAGAAAGAGUCAGCAGCGGCAAAAGACUGCGAUUAUUCAAGGGCUGAGGAAUCUUGUCAGUCUUCUCAUGGAAAUGCUCGAGAAAAUGGAGAGGCAAUGGACUACGAGACAGAAAUCCCCAAGCAGUCACGAAAUAAUGUUCCUGGACCUUCAGCAUUCCCUUUCGGAGGCCUCACCCCACCUGCCCCUCCUUUACCGCCACACAUGAUGGCCAAACUUCCGGCUAAUGAUGCUGACGCACUCUCAAGUAUGUUAAUGUCCUGGUACAUCAGCGGGUUCCAUACAGGAUAUUAUCAUGGUAUGAAGCAAGCCCAAAGUAAUGCCGAGCGUCGAAAAAACUGAGAUGUGAUGUAAUUUAAUUUUUAUACGAAAAAACAAAACUAGAAAACUUGAAAACGAAUUGUUUUUCUGGCAGCUUUGAGUACAUCAAUGGAAUUUA